This 484-nucleotide ribosomal RNA is filed under the name uncultured bacterium. RNAcentral describes it as "partial 16S ribosomal RNA". It matches the Rfam family "Bacterial small subunit ribosomal RNA", at positions 30 to 507 of the family's 1533-position model. The record is from RNAcentral.
AUUGAACGCUGGCGGCAGGCCUAACACAUGCAAGUCGAGCGGAUGAAGGGAGCUUGCUCCUGGAUUCAGCGGCGGACGGGUGAGUAAUGCCUAUGAAUCUGCCUGGUAGUGGGGGAUAACGUCCGGAAACGGGCGCUAAUACCGCAUACGUCCUGAGGGAGAAAGUGGGGGAUCUUCGGACCUUACGCUAUCAGAUGAGCCUAGGUCGGAUUAGCUAGUUGGUGGGGUAAAGGCCUACCAAGGCGACGAUCCGUAACUGGUCUGAGAGGAUGAUCAGUCACACUGGAACUGAGACACGGUCCAGACUCCUACGGGAGGCAGCAGUGGGGAAUAUUGGACAAUGGGCGAAAGCCUGAUCCAGCCAUGCCGCGUGUGUGAAGAAGGUCUUCGGAUUGUAAAGCACUUUAAGUUGGGAGGAAGGGCAGUAAGUUAAUACCUUGCUGUUUUGACGUUACCAACAGAAUAAGCACCGGCUAACUUCGUG